AGAGUUUGAUCAUGGCUCAGGAUGAACGCUAGCUACAGGCUUAACACAUGCAAGUCGAGGGGCAGCAUGUUGGUUGCUUGCAACCAACGAUGGCGACCGGCGCACGGGUGAGUAACGCGUAUCCAACCUACCCUUGUCCAUCGGAUAACCCGUCGAAAGGCGGCCUAACACGAUAUGCGGUUCACAGCAGGCAUCUAACGUGAACGAAAUGUAAAGGAGAAGGAUGGGGACGCGUCUGAUUAGCUUGUUGGCGGGGUAACGGCCACCAAGGCGACGAUCAGUAGGGGUUCUGAGNGGAAGGUCCCCCACAUUGGAACUGAGACACGGUCCAAACUCCUACGGGAGGCA
RNAcentral lists this ribosomal RNA (348 nucleotides) under uncultured bacterium. Its description in RNAcentral is "bacterial SSU rRNA". It matches the Rfam family "Bacterial small subunit ribosomal RNA", at positions 8 to 350 of the family's 1533-position model. The record is from RNAcentral.